RNAcentral lists this long non-coding RNA (982 nucleotides) under Equus caballus (horse). RNAcentral describes it as "lncRNA (ENSECAG00000053458.1)". Lineage: Eukaryota; Metazoa; Chordata; Mammalia; Perissodactyla; Equidae. The record is from RNAcentral.
UUUCAUUGGGGUAGUUUCUUUUGCUGUGUCUUCAAAUUUACUUUUUUUAAAAUGAUUGUCUACUUUGCUGUUAAUCCCAUCCUGUAUUUUUUAAAUCUAAACCAUCGUGAUUUUUAUCUCUAGAAGUUCAAUUUGGGUCUGUUCAUAUCUUCCAUGCCUCUACUUCACAUGUUCUGUCUUUCCUCUAGCUUCUUGAGCACAUGGAAUACAGUUAUACUAACAGUUUUUAUGUUGUCGUCUACUAAUUCUGUUAUCUGUGUCAGUUCUGGAUCAGCUUCAACUGAUUGAUUUUUUCCCCCUCAUUAUGUUUGUGUUUUCCUGCUUCUUUGCAUGACUGGUAAUUUUUGAUUGAAUGCCAAACAUUACGGCUUUUACCUUGGUUGCUGGAUAUUAUUGUAUUCCUAUAAAGAUUCUUGAGCUUUUUUCAGGAACACAGUUAAGUAUUUGAAAUAAUUUUGAUCCUUCUGAGCCUUGCUUUUAAGCUUUAUUAGGUGGGACCACAGCAGCAUUGGAUCUAAGGUUAAUUUUCACACUACUGGACUCAUCCAGAAGAUCCAGGAUAACCUGGCUAUUUUAAGGGUCUGUGAUUUCUUGUCACAGCAUCUUGAUCAGGAUUCUCCAAGAAGCUCUUGUUCAUGAAGGUGGCUGACCCGGCAUGGAGGCCUGGCCAAGGUCUUCCCCCUGAAAGGGUUGGAGGUGCGGGGGCAAAAGGAUCCAAGAAAUAAAAGUGUUACAUCCUCAGAGAUUGGUUGUUCAGCUCAUCCAGUUCGUGAGGCUAAAGUCCCCAGGCCCCAAACUGCCUCUAUUUAUGAAUUUCUGCCCUGUUCUAAAGACAGCAGGGGAAAACACGGUUUUGUAGAAAAAAGCUGACAAAACCACUUCUGCACAUCUGGAAGCUAGGGUGGCUUAGGGAGGUGCGGAAGACCACAGGUGGCGUUUUCUUCCCUGAGCCAUGGGCCCUGGGGUUCAGGUGGCAUCUAGC